CCUACGGGGGGCAGCAGUAGGGAAUCUUUCACAAUGGGCGAAAGCCUGAUGGAGCAACGCCGCGUGCAGGAUGAAGGCCUUCGGGAUGUAAACUGCUUUUAUAAGCGAGAAAUAUGAUGGUAACUUAUGAAUAAGGAUCGGCUAACAACGUGCCAGCAGCCGCAGUCAUACGUAGGAUCCGAGCAUUAUCCGGAGUGACUGGGUGUAAAGAGUUGCGUAGGUGGCAUAAUAAGUAGCUGGUGAAAUCUGGUGGCUCAACCAUUCAGACUAUUAGCGAAACUGUUAAGCUCGAGACCGUUAGGGGUAAGUGGAAUGUCUAGUGUAGGAGUGAAAUCCGUAGAUAUUAGAAAGAACACCAAUAGCGAAGGCAGGUUACUGGCACGGUUCUGACACUAAGGCACGAAAGCGUAGGGAGCGAACGGGAUUAGAUACCCGUGUAGUC
RNAcentral lists this ribosomal RNA (442 nucleotides) under uncultured bacterium. RNAcentral describes it as "partial 16S ribosomal RNA". It matches the Rfam family "Bacterial small subunit ribosomal RNA", at positions 338 to 795 of the family's 1533-position model. The record is from RNAcentral.